AUGAUGGCUUACUGCGUUGUACUGUUCUUGGUUGCUUGCGCUCCCAUAACCUCCUGGAUGAAGCCAGAGGAGCAACAGCACAGCAGCACCAUAUCCUUCCUUAGAUGUAUUCUGCCUGGAGGACAGACUGGACGAACUCGGGCUGGACCAGAACUGCCGCAGCACUGUUCUCUGUUGCUGAACAUAAAGGCAAUGAAAAUUGAGCUGGGAAGAGUACAGGGGAGGAAAAACGACCAUAGCCAGUGAGUGUCCACCCUGGGUAACUGGGGUUUGUGGCUGUUUCUGCCCCACUGUGUUGUGUACAGUGAGCCUGGUAGCAGGACCUCCUUCCCAAAGUGGUCCCACGGUCCUCUCCCU
Molecule: long non-coding RNA, 357 nt
Filed under: Calidris pugnax (ruff)
Lineage: Eukaryota; Metazoa; Chordata; Aves; Charadriiformes; Scolopacidae
Description: lncRNA (ENSCPUG00000014378.1)
Source: RNAcentral